GUUGACCUCGGAUCAGGUAGGGAACCCGCGAACUACCCUCUUUCUUUUCGUCCCCGAAAUAGGGGGGGGGGGCGCCACCA
Molecule: ribosomal RNA, 80 nt
Filed under: Pseudocercospora eumusae
Lineage: Eukaryota; Fungi; Ascomycota; Dothideomycetes; Mycosphaerellales; Mycosphaerellaceae
Description: partial 28S ribosomal RNA
Source: RNAcentral